This 495-nucleotide ribosomal RNA is filed under the name uncultured bacterium. RNAcentral's name for it is "partial 16S ribosomal RNA". It matches the Rfam family "Bacterial small subunit ribosomal RNA", at positions 28 to 507 of the family's 1533-position model. The record is from RNAcentral.
GACGAACGCUGGCGGCGUGCCUAAUACAUGCAAGUCGAACGCUGAAGGAGGAGCUUGCUUCUCCGGAUGAGUUGCGAACGGGUGAGUAACGCGUAGGUAACCUGCCUGGUAGCGGGGGAUAACUAUUGGAAACGAUAGCUAAUACCGCAUAAGAGUAGAUGUCGCAUGACAUUUGCUUAAAAGGUGCAACUGCACCACUACCAGAUGGACCUGCGUUGUAUUAGCUAGUUGGUGAGGUAACGGCUCACCAAGGCAACGAUACAUAGCCGACCUGAGAGGGUGAUCGGCCACACUGGGACUGAGACACGGCCCAGACUCCUACGGGAGGCAGCAGUAGGGAAUCUUCGGCAAUGGACGGAAGUCUGACCGAGUAACGCCGCGUGAGUGAAGAAGGUUUUCGGAUCGUAAAGCUCUGUUGUAAGAGAAGAACGAGUGUGAGAGUGGAAAGUUCACACUGUGACGGUAGCUUACCAGAAAGGGACGGCUAACUACGUG